UUUAGAUAGAAGUUCGCUGGUUUAAACACUUAGCUGUUAACUAAGAUUUUGUGGGAUCGAGGCCUGCCUGUCUAG
Molecule: transfer RNA, 75 nt
Filed under: Glyphis glyphis (speartooth shark)
Lineage: Eukaryota; Metazoa; Chordata; Chondrichthyes; Carcharhiniformes; Carcharhinidae
Description: tRNA-Asn
Source: RNAcentral